Molecule: RNase P RNA, 388 nt
Filed under: Haloferula rosea
Lineage: Bacteria; Pseudomonadati; Verrucomicrobiota; Verrucomicrobiia; Verrucomicrobiales; Verrucomicrobiaceae
Description: Bacterial RNase P class A
Rfam family: Bacterial RNase P class A
About the family: Ribonuclease P (RNase P) is a ubiquitous endoribonuclease, found in archaea, bacteria and eukarya as well as chloroplasts and mitochondria. Its best characterised activity is the generation of mature 5'-ends of tRNAs by cleaving the 5'-leader elements of precursor-tRNAs. Cellular RNase Ps are ribonucleoproteins.
Source: Rfam by way of RNAcentral
GCCGCUCCCCGGAUGAUCGCGGUUCGUUUCUUCGGAGGCGGGUCGAGGAAAGUCCGGACACCAAAGGGCAGCGUGCCUUGUGAAAACGAGGGACGGGCUUCCGCGAGGAACCCGGACGGAAAGUGCAGCAGAAAACAAACCGCCCUGAUUCGUCGGGGUAAGGGUGAAAAGGUGAGGUAAGAGCUCACCGCUCCAGAGGUAACAAUGGAGGCACGGUAAACCCCGCGCGGUGCAAGACAGAACAGGAGAAGGGUCGCCCGCCCGUUGAAUCUCCGGGUAUUAGUCGCAGUCCACUCCGGUGGGCUCCCGCUUCGGCGGGAAGAGAAAUGAUCGUCGAAUCCCGCAAAGGCGGGAGGAACAGAAUCCGGCUUACAGGGGAGCGGUCGCC